AACGAACGCUGGCGGCAGGCUUAACACAUGCAAGUCGAACGGUUGUAGCAAUACAGCAGUGGCAGACGGGUGAGUAACACGUGGGAACCUUCCUAGGGGUACGGAACAACUCAGGGAAACUUGAGCUAAUACCGUAUACGUCCGUGAGGAGAAAGAUUUAUCGCCCUUAGACGGGCCCCGCGUAGGAUUAGGUAGUUGGUGGGGUAAUGGCCUACCAAGCCUACGAUCCUUAGCUGAUCUGAGAGGAUGAUCAGCCACACUGGGACUGAGACACGGCCCAGACUCCUACGGGAGGCAGCAGUGGGGAAUCUUGGACAAUGGGCGCAAGCCUGAUCCAGCCAUGCCGCGUGAGUGAAGAAGGCC
This 363-nucleotide ribosomal RNA is filed under the name uncultured bacterium. RNAcentral describes it as "bacterial SSU rRNA". It matches the Rfam family "Bacterial small subunit ribosomal RNA", at positions 29 to 416 of the family's 1533-position model. The record is from RNAcentral.